Molecule: ribosomal RNA, 491 nt
Filed under: uncultured bacterium
Lineage: Bacteria
Description: partial 16S ribosomal RNA
Rfam family: Bacterial small subunit ribosomal RNA
Source: RNAcentral
AGUGAACGCUGGCGGUAGGCCUAACACAUGCAAGUCGAACGGCAGCACAGUAAGAGCUUGCUCUUACGGGUGGCGAGUGGCGGACGGGUGAGGAAUACAUCGGAAUCUACUUUUUCGUGGGGGAUAACGUAGGGAAACUUACGCUAAUACCGCAUACGACCUACGGGUGAAAGCAGGGGAUCUUCGGACCUUGCGCGAUUGAAUGAGCCGAUGUCGGAUUAGCUAGUUGGCGGGGUAAAGGCCCACCAAGGCGACGAUCCGUAGCUGGUCUGAGAGGAUGAUCAGCCACACUGGAACUGAGACACGGUCCAGACUCCUACGGGAGGCAGCAGUGGGGAAUAUUGGACAGUGGGCGCAAGCCUGAUCCAGCCAUACCGCGUGGGUGAAGAAGGCCUUCGGGUUGUAAAGCCCUUUUGUUGGGAUAGAAAAGCAGCAGGUUAAUACCCCGCUGUUCUGACGGUACCCAAAGAAUAAGCACCGGCUAACUUCGU